UAGGGAAUCUUCCGCAAUGGACGCAAGUCUGACGGAGCAACGCCGCGUGAGUGAAGAAGGUUUUCGGAUCGUAAAACUCUGUUGUAAGAGAAGAACAAAUUGUAGAGUAACUGCUACAGUCUUGACGGUAUCUUACCAGAAAGCCACGGCUAACUACGUGCCAGCAGCCGCGGUAAUACGUAGGUGGCAAGCGUUGUCCGGAUUUAUUGGGCGUAAAGGGGGCGCAGGCUGCUUCUUAAGUCUGAUGUGAAAGCCCACGGCUUAACCGUGGAAGUGCAUUGGAAACUGGGAAGCUUGAGUACAGAAGAGGAAAGUGGAACUCCAUGUGUAGCGGUGGAAUGCGUAGAUAUAUGGAAGAACACCAGUGGCGAAGGCGGCUAUCUGGACAGUAACUGACGCUGAGGCGCGAAAGCGUGGGGAGCAAACAGG
This 429-nucleotide ribosomal RNA is filed under the name Verrucomicrobiota bacterium. RNAcentral's name for it is "Verrucomicrobia bacterium partial 16S ribosomal RNA". It matches the Rfam family "Bacterial small subunit ribosomal RNA", at positions 355 to 776 of the family's 1533-position model. The record is from RNAcentral. Lineage: Bacteria; Pseudomonadati; Verrucomicrobiota.